This 450-nucleotide ribosomal RNA is filed under the name uncultured bacterium. RNAcentral's name for it is "bacterial SSU rRNA". It matches the Rfam family "Bacterial small subunit ribosomal RNA", at positions 354 to 796 of the family's 1533-position model. The record is from RNAcentral.
GUGGGGAAUUUUGGACAAUGGGGGCAACCCUGAUCCAGCCAUGCCGCGUGAGUGAAGAAGGCCUUCGGGUUGUAAAGCUCUUUCAGGUGGAAAGAAAUCUCCCGGGUGAAUACCCUGGGAGGAUGACGGUACCAUCAGAAGAAGCACCGGCUAACUACGUGCCAGCAGCCGCGGUAAUACGUAGGGUGCGAGCGUUAAUCGGAAUUACUGGGCGUAAAGCGUGCGCAGGCGGUUGUGUAAGACAGAUGUGAAAUCCCCGGGCUCAACCUGGGAACUGCGUUUGUGACUGCACAACUAGAGUACGGCAGAGGGAGGUGGAAUUCCGCGUGUAGCAGUGAAAUGCGUAGAGAUGCGGAGGAACACCGAUGGCGAAGGCAGCCUCCUGGGCCAGUACUGACGCUCAUGCACGAAAGCGUGGGGAGCAAACAGGAUUAGAAACCCCGGUAGUCC